GUCUGUGUGGUAUAGUGGUUUGAGUGUUGGACUAGGAUUCUGGAGACCAGGUUCAAAUCCUAGCUCAGCCA
This is a non-coding RNA of Phrynosoma platyrhinos (Desert horned lizard), 71 nucleotides long. The record is from the annotation of a GenBank genome assembly. NCBI's taxonomy places the organism in Eukaryota, Metazoa, Chordata, Lepidosauria, Squamata, Phrynosomatidae.